UUCCCUAGAGUUAGUAUUACCUCUAGGGAACUUCUGUAACGUGUCGCA
This 48-nucleotide non-coding RNA is filed under the name unclassified sequences. The record is from Rfam.